CGCCAAAGUCUGUUUCUUCCGUUCGCCUGGAGCUAAAUACAGCUGAGCAGCCCCACGUCUCGUCCAUAAAAAAAGGAAGCCACAGCUCUGCAUGGUAGAAGCCACGUACCGCAAAACCCAGCCCAGAAACAACCACGUGAGCGAGAGAGAAACCACAGGUGGAGGCUUCCAUCCUCACCCAUGGGCCAUGCUGCCGCUCGGUGUCAAACGGGGCUGGGUGAUUCGCCGGAGGCCACUGAAGCUGUUCUUGGCAGAGGAUGGCGGCCGGGAACGCUCCUAUGCGAUAGCAACCGUGCCCCGCGACAACUGCAUGCGCGCGGCCGCACCAGCACAAUGGAUGUCACAAAGGACCAGUCGGAUGCGGGACCUCUCCGCGGCCGGGACUCUCGUGAUUGCGCGGGCUCUGAAACUGGUAAGAACUCUUGAUUGCUUACCUGUUUCCUUCACGUAGAUUAGUUGUAUUCGGUUAGGCUUUGGGAGCACCUGAAGCGCCGUGGUAAUGGCGGCUACUUGAGCGGUCUCCCUCGCCAGCGUAUUCGACGGACAGGGGUUAAAGAUGAACCGAUGGCCAUUGAUUGGUAUUCAAUGGUCGUGAUCACGUCGCGCGUAACCCUUCGAGCGGGGAAAUCUGAACCGUGGAUCUGGCAAGUUGCGACUCAGAUUAAAACCUGGCAUACCGGUUUGGAUGUGGUUCGAUCUAAUCUGGUCCCUUGAAAACAGAUCAAGCGGCUCAGGUCGCGCAAUACCCCUUCGGCCUCGACAAUUAUAUUAAAGAACCCAUCUGUUAUUUUAGAUUCAACUCGCAAUCCAUAGGACUGUUCACUGAGUCUUAAGAAAUUUACGUGUUAGCCUCUGUUAUUCUCUGAAUUCAUGCGCACAGUCCAGACAGCGAAUAAAAUCAGAGAAAUUCAUUUUAAAUUCAUUUUUAAUACAAAAAUAAUGGUAGAAACUUGUAUAAAUCAUAGAAAAUUCAUAUUAAAUCCUUUUUAGUCCAUUCCACUUCCUAUAAUUUUAUAUUAAUAUUGUCUAUUACUUGGUAGCACUGUUUUAGCAUGAAACCCAUACCAGACAUGAUUACUCAAAUAAUUUUGUAGCAAGCACAUACGAACUUUGGGAAUUCAUAACUUAAAAUCUAUGAUUCCGAUUUGAUCCGUUCAAGUUGCGUUAGUCUCGUAUAAAUGUUUUCUAUACAAUAAAAACAUUUCUUAUACCAUGUCUCAUUAUUUUAUCACUAGAUCUUUAUUUAACUUAUGUUGGUUAGUCUUGUUAAUCUCUUUAUCAUUAUAACCUACUAGAAUAAGAUCUAUGGUCAAUUUAUAACUUAGAUUAAAGUUGAGAUAAUUAUUUAUAGAAUAACCUCUCAUAUGAUUUAUAUUAACCAAAUUAUAAUAUAGUUUAAUAUUUUAAUCACAUAAAUUCUCUAUAAAAUCAUAACUCCUUAAUCGUAACUCCAAUUUUAGUGGUUCUCGUUCCCACGAUCUUGUAGCGACGUGUAGAUUAUUAUUAUUCAGUUUGUACUUAUGUUUGGUGUGAUGUUAAUUUUGUCUAUAUCAUGUUUGUUUGUAUUGCUACGACUAGCGUGUGGUCACGAGGAUCUGAAGAAUCACCCUGGUAACUGGAAUCUCAAGUGCCAGGCAAGUUGUGCCCUUGAUUCACUUUUGUUACCCAAUAAUGUUCUUUGUAAUCAUUUACCAUGCAUAGGUCUAAUUUUGAUGGGACCCAAUAGGUCACCCUAGAUUGUUUAUCUCAUUACCUUGUUUACCCCUGAAUCACAUGGGUAGUUUUUGCUAUUGCUUUACAUGAUUUUGGGAUAAUUAUUUAUUAUAUCCAUGUUCCAGUUAUUAUGUUAUUUUAUUUAUGUUCAUGUCAAGAUCAUUAUAUUAUUGUUAAUUGGAACAUGGAGCUUAACUUGAGAAACACGUGCCGCCACAAGGGUUUAAUGGGACGCCCUUGGCUGACUAAUUAGGAAAGCUAGUGGAAGACUACCUUACCCGAAAGGGGCAAGGGCAGUAGGGAAGUUGCAUGCAAGGAGGUUCUCGGGUUGAUUUGCUGCGAUGGCGGUCGGACGGGAGAUUCUUGCAAGUGCUCUUCCCAUAAACUGUAGCGGGUUUUCGGAAGCUAGUGGAACUUUGCAAAGGCCUCGUAGUGGAUCCCUAGCCAUUCACCUUGGUAGUGUCUAAGGGCCUAGCUAACCCUGGCGACAUGGGAAACAUGACUUGUGGGUAAAGGGUACAACCUCUGCAGAGUGAAAAACUGGUAUACUAGCCGAGCUCACGGUCAUGAGCGGCUCAGGACUCUCCGAUGAUUAAAUUAUGGAAUCUAAACUCAAUUUGUCAUUUGCAUAUGCAUGGGAUUAUUUAUUAAUUUUGUUCUAUUACUUUAUUUAAGGUUUGGUAUUUACUUACACUUAGUAACUGCUAAUAAAAUUUUGACCAACUUAUAAAAGCAAUGCUCAGCUUUAACCUCUAUUGUUGAUCAGCCUUACACUUCAUAAACUCCCACCUUUUGUGAGUUCAUGUCACAUUAUUCCCCACAACUUGUUGAGCGAUGAACAUGUGUGAGCUCACCCUUGCUGUCUCACACCCCCCACAGGAGAAGAACAGGUGAUUCAGGAGGAGCCACGUAUCGAGGAGUAUGAUCUGAUCUAGGUGGCGUUUCUCAGUUGACAUUGGCGCCGACGAUCCUUAGUUCAUUUUAUAUUUAUUCUUUUAUUUUGUAAUAAGUCUUCCGCUAUGUAUUAAAUACUCUGAUUAUUGUGACAUUUAUCUCUAUGCACUCUGUUAUUGCAUAUGUUGUCUUCUUGGCGCAUGUAUGAGAUGCACCUGGCUUUGUCCCUUAAAGCCGGGUGUGACAGCCGAGCUCGGCUUGACUCGCUCAUCUGGCGAGCUCGAAAAAGCGGCUCGA
This 2904-nucleotide long non-coding RNA is filed under the name Zea mays. RNAcentral describes it as "long non-coding RNA (ZMAY_LNC001895)". The record is from RNAcentral. Lineage: Eukaryota; Viridiplantae; Streptophyta; Magnoliopsida; Poales; Poaceae.